Molecule: ribosomal RNA, 440 nt
Filed under: uncultured bacterium
Lineage: Bacteria
Description: partial 16S ribosomal RNA
Rfam family: Bacterial small subunit ribosomal RNA
Source: RNAcentral
CCUACGGGAGGCAGCAGUGGGGGAUAUUGCACAAUGGGGGAAACCCUGAUGCAGCGACGCCGCGUGUGGGAAGACGGUCCUCUGGAUUGUAAACCACUGUCCCCAGGGACGAAGAUGACGGUACCUGGUGAGGAAGCUCCGGCUAACUACGUGCCAGCAGCCGCGGUAAUACGUAGGGAGCGAGCGUUGUCCGUAAUUACUGGGUGUAAAGGGAGCGUAGGCGGGACUGCAAGUUGGGUGUCAAAUCUACCGGCUCAACCGGUAGCCGCACUCAAAACUGCAGUUCUUGAGUGAAGUAGAGGCAGGUGGAAUUCCUAGUGUAGCGGUGAAAUGCGUAGAUAUUAGGAGGAACACCAGUGGCGAAGGCGGCCUGCUGGGCUUUUACUGACGCUGAGGCUCGAAAGUGUGGGGAGCAAACAGGAUUAGAUACCCCUGUAGUC